Molecule: ribosomal RNA, 266 nt
Filed under: Agapetus sp. BOLD:AAJ7155
Lineage: Eukaryota; Metazoa; Arthropoda; Insecta; Trichoptera; Glossosomatidae
Description: partial 18S small subunit ribosomal RNA
Rfam family: Eukaryotic small subunit ribosomal RNA
Source: RNAcentral
AGUUGGUGCAUGGCCGUUCUUAGUUGGUGGAGCGAUUUGUCAGGUUAAUUCCGGUAACGAACGUAACUCUAGCCUAUUAAAUAGACGCACAAUCGGUAUCACGAGGGUCCGCUCCCGUAUGCUCAGCCCGAGCGCGCGCCCGCGCGCGCGACGGCGGCUGCGAUUGCGGUGCUUUCACUACCGGCGUAAAAUGAAAAUCUUCUUAGAGGGACCGGCGGUAUAUAUAGCCGCACGAGAUUGAGCAAUAGCAGGUCUGUGAUGCCCUU